This 497-nucleotide ribosomal RNA is filed under the name uncultured bacterium. Its description in RNAcentral is "partial 16S ribosomal RNA". It matches the Rfam family "Bacterial small subunit ribosomal RNA", at positions 28 to 507 of the family's 1533-position model. The record is from RNAcentral.
GAUGAACGCUGGCGGCGUGCCUAAUACAUGCAAGUCGAGCGAACAGACGAGGAGCUUGCUCCUCUGACGUUAGCGGCGGACGGGUGAGUAACACGUGGAUAACCUACCUAUAAGACUGGGAUAACUUCGGGAAACCGGAGCUAAUACCGGAUAAUAUAUUGAACCGCAUGGUUCAAUAGUGAAAGACGGUUUUGCUGUCACUUAUAGAUGGAUCCGCGCCGCAUUAGCUAGUUGGUAAGGUAACGGCUUACCAAGGCAACGAUGCGUAGCCGACCUGAGAGGGUGAUCGGCCACACUGGAACUGAGACACGGUCCAGACUCCUACGGGAGGCAGCAGUAGGGAAUCGUCCGCAAUGGGCGAAAGCCUGACGGAGCAACGCCGCGUGAGUGAUGAAGGUCUGCGGAUCGUAAAACUCUGUUAUUAGGGAAGAACAAAUGUGUAAGUAACUAUGCACGUCUUGACGGUACCUAAUCAGAAAGCCACGGCUAACUACGUG